GACGAACGCUGGCGGCGUGCCUAACACGUGCAAGUCGAACGGAAAGGCCCUGCUUUUGUGGGGUGCUCGAGUGGCGAACGGGUGAGUAACACGUGAGUAACCUGCCCUUGACUUUGGGAUAACUUCAGGAAACUGGGGCUAAUACCGGAUAGGAGCUCCUGCUGCAUGGUGGAGGUUGGAAAGUUUCGGCGGUUGGGGAUGGACUCGCGGCUUAUCAGCUUGUUGGUGGGGUAGUGGCUUACCAAGGCUUUGACGGGUAGCCGGCCUGAGAGGGUGACCGGCCACAUUGGGACUGAGAUACGGCCCAGACUCCUACGGGAGGCAGCAGUGGGGAAUAUUGCACAAUGGGCGGAAGCCUGAUGCAGCAACGCCGCGUGCGGGAUGACGGCCUUCGGGUUGUAAACCGCUUUCGCCUGUGACGAAGCGUGAGUGACGGUAAUGGGUAAAGAAGCACCGGCUAACUACGUG
Molecule: ribosomal RNA, 468 nt
Filed under: uncultured bacterium
Lineage: Bacteria
Description: partial 16S ribosomal RNA
Rfam family: Bacterial small subunit ribosomal RNA
Source: RNAcentral